Molecule: long non-coding RNA, 394 nt
Organism: Choloepus didactylus (southern two-toed sloth)
Lineage: Eukaryota; Metazoa; Chordata; Mammalia; Pilosa; Megalonychidae
Exons: 3
Source: RefSeq, a predicted model, not a curated record
GUAAUCUCUUUCCGUGGAAAUUGGAAUGUAUUAGAAUUAGGAAACCUUGGGAGCAAUAGCUAUGAAAUUGAUGUCAUACUUAUAUCAACUCUCUGAAGGCAUAACUAAAUGCAAUCUUACCUUUUUAAUGUUCAUAUGAGAAUGUCCUGACUCCUUGGAAACUAUGCCUGCAAAGCAUCAGUUCACCAAUCAUUAGCAUCUGUGACUGACACUCCACAGAUCUGCAGUUUUAUGAGGCAUAAAGGUUAAUCUUGAACCCUUAGGUAAGUUGAAGAUUCUUCCACUUCGAGAAAAAUCUUGUUGAAAAGAAUCAUGAUGCUACACUUGACCUAGAACACUGAUCUAACCAUCUCUUCGAUUAUGUGACCAAUAGUUUCACUGGGAAAUUAAAAAA